CAGUAGCCGCGGUAAUACGAAGGGUGCAGGCGUUAAUCGGAAUUACUGGGCGUAAAGCGUGCGUAGGCGGUGAGUUAAGUCUGCUGUGAAAUCCCCGGGCUCAACCUGGGAAUGGCAGUGGAUACUGGCUCGCUAGAGUGUGUCAGAGGAUGGUGGAAUUCCCGGUGUAGCGGUGAAAUGCGUAGAGAUCGGGAGGAACAUCAGUGGCGAAGGCGGCCAUCUGGGACAACACUGACGCUGAGGCACGAAAGCGUGGGGAGCAAACAGGAUUAGAGACCCCGGUAGUCCCUGUCUCUUAUAC
This 301-nucleotide ribosomal RNA is filed under the name uncultured bacterium. RNAcentral describes it as "partial 16S ribosomal RNA". It matches the Rfam family "Bacterial small subunit ribosomal RNA", at positions 509 to 807 of the family's 1533-position model. The record is from RNAcentral.